AGUGAACGCUGGCGGUAGGCCUAACACAUGCAAGUCGAACGGCAGCCCAGUAAGAGCUUGCUCUUACGGGUGGCGAGUGGCGGACGUGUGAGGAAUACAUCGGAAUCUACUUUUUCGUGGGGGAUAACGUAGGGAAACUUACGCUAAUACCGCAUACGACCUACGGGUGAAAGCAGGGGAUCUUCGGACCUUGCGCGAUUGAAUGAGCCGAUGUCGGAUUAGCUAGUUGGCGGGGUAAAGGCCCACCAAGGCGACGAUCCGUAGCUGGUCUGAGAGGAUGAUCAGCCAAACUGGACCUGAGACAGGGUCCAGACUCCUCCGGGAGGAAGAAGUGGGGAAUAUUGGAAAAUGGGCGAAAGCCUGAUCCAGACAUACCGCGUGGGUGAAGCAGGCCUUCGGGUUGUAAAGCCCUUUUGUUGGGAAAGAAAAGCAGCAGGUUAAUACCCCGCUGUUCUGACGGUACCCAAAGAAUAAGCACCGGCUAACUUCGUG
Molecule: ribosomal RNA, 492 nt
Filed under: uncultured bacterium
Lineage: Bacteria
Description: partial 16S ribosomal RNA
Rfam family: Bacterial small subunit ribosomal RNA
Source: RNAcentral